This is a long non-coding RNA of Xenopus laevis (African clawed frog), 276 nucleotides long. RefSeq lists it as uncharacterized. The record is from RefSeq and is a predicted model, not a curated record. Lineage: Eukaryota; Metazoa; Chordata; Amphibia; Anura; Pipidae. The transcript has 4 exons.
UGACGACCGGAUAUACAAUGAGUUAUGUGUCCCUCAAGAUGGUUUGAAAAGCAGUCUGUAAGGAAAGGUUGGAGACCAGGCUUACAGAAUUUAUGUUACAGGAAGGAGGAAGAAAGAUCUCACCCAGCCUCAUGGCAGACCCUAUUAUUGGACGAAACAAAGCAGCGAUCAUGAAAUCUUCAAAUUGUAAAAGGAACACUUGCUAUUGACUUCUACGUGACCUCGGCAGGUUUGAGAUGGCGAAUUUUCAGAUUCAGACUUUUAGCAGUUUCGGGG